RNAcentral lists this small RNA (132 nucleotides) under Citrobacter koseri. Its description in RNAcentral is "RtT sRNA". It matches the Rfam family "RtT RNA". Rfam says of the family: This family represents a bacterial cis-regulatory element known as RtT RNA. The exact function of RtT is unknown although it is thought that it may be involved in changing the cellular response in relation to amino acid starvation. The record is from RNAcentral. RNAcentral also lists the same sequence under 7 other names. Lineage: Bacteria; Pseudomonadati; Pseudomonadota; Gammaproteobacteria; Enterobacterales; Enterobacteriaceae.
AUUCUGUCCUCACGGGGAAGGAUGAGAAGCUUCGACUAAGGUUCGAUUCGAGCGGAAGCGAGAAAGCGUUGCCGAAGGCAACGACCCGAAGGGCGAGGCGCAACGCGCCGAGUCAUCCUUCCCCCACCACCA